RNAcentral lists this ribosomal RNA (449 nucleotides) under uncultured bacterium. RNAcentral describes it as "bacterial SSU rRNA". It matches the Rfam family "Bacterial small subunit ribosomal RNA", at positions 44 to 495 of the family's 1533-position model. The record is from RNAcentral.
GCGGGAUAGGCAUGCAAGAUCGAGCGAGAAGGAAAUCAAAGUUUACUUUGGUUUCCGGAAAGCGGCGAAAGGGAGAGUAACGCGUUAGUUAUCUACCCCAAGGCCCGGAAUAGCUGCGGGAAACUGCAGGUAAUGCCGGAUAAUAUCCCCGGAUCAAAGGUGUGAAUCCGCCUUGGGAGGAGACUGCGUUGUACUAGCUUGUUGGUAGGGUAAUGGCCUACCAAGGCUACGAUGCAUAGCGGGCGUGAGAGCGUGGCCCGUCUCACUGGGACUGAAACACUGCCCAGACACCUACGGGUGGCUGCAGUCGAGAAUCUUCGGCAAUGGGCGAAAGCCUGACCGAGCGAUGCCGCGUGCGGGAUGAAGGCCUUCGGGUUGUAAACCGCUGUCGUAGGGGAGAAUGGGCCGUCGAAGAGACGGUUUAGAUCAAUCCUAAAGAGGAAGUCCGG